Molecule: long non-coding RNA, 2423 nt
Organism: Salvelinus fontinalis (brook trout)
Lineage: Eukaryota; Metazoa; Chordata; Actinopteri; Salmoniformes; Salmonidae
Exons: 2
Source: RefSeq, a predicted model, not a curated record
UCCAUAAUGUGUAAUAUAUUACUGUCUUAUUGUAAUAUAUUAGUGUCUUAUGUGUAAUAUAUUACUGUCUUAGUGUAGUCCAUAAUGUGUAAUAUAUUACUGUCUUAGUGUAGUCCAUAAUAUGUAAUAUAUUACUGUCUUAUUGUAGUCCAUAAUAUAUUACUGUCUUAGUGUAGUCCAUAAUAUGUAAUAUAUUACUGUCUUAUUGUAGUCCAUAAUGUGUAAUAUAUUACUGUCUUAGUGUAGUCCAUAAUAUGUAAUAUAUUACUGUCUUAUUGUAGUCCAUAAUAUGUAAUAUAUUACUGUCUUAGUGUAGUCCAUAAUAUGUAAUAUAUUACUGUCUUAUUGUAGUCCAUAAUGUGUAAUAUAUUACUGUCUUAGUGUAGUCCAUAAUAUGUAAUAUAUUACUGUCUUAGUGUAGUCCAUAAUGUGUAAUAUAUUACUGUCUUAGUGUAGUCCAUAAUGUGUAAUAUAUUACUGUCUUAGUGUAGUCCAUAAUAUGUAAUAUAUUACUGUCUUAUUGUAGUCCAUAAUGUGUAAUAUAUUACUGUCUUAGUGUAGUCCAUAAUAUGUAAUAUAUUACUGUCUUAUUGUAGUCCAUAAUAUAUUACUGUCUUAGUGUAGUCCAUAAUAUGUAAUAUAUUACUGUCUUAUUGUAGUCCAUAAUGUGUAAAAUAUUACUGUCUUAGUGUAGUCCAUAAUAUAUUACUGUCUUAUUGUAGUCUGUAAUAUGUAAUAUAUUACUGUCUUAUUGUAGUCCAUAAUGUGUAAUAUAUUACUGUCUUAGUGUAGUCCAUAAUAUAUUACUGUCUUAGUGUAGUCCAUAAUGUGUAAUAUAUUACUGUCUUAGUGUAGUCCAUAAUAUGUAAUAUAUUACUGUCUUAGUGUAGUCCAUAAUGUGUAAUAUAUUACUGUCUUAUUGUAGUCCAUAAUAUGUAAUAUAUUACUGUCUUAGUGUAGUCCAUAAUGUGUAAUAUAUUACUGUCUUAUUGUAGUCCAUAAUAUGUAAUAGAUUACUGUCUUAGUAUAGUCCAUAAUAUGUAAUAUAUUACUGUCUUAUUGUAGUCCAUAAUGUGUAAUAUAUUACUGUCUUAGUGUAGUCCAUAAUAUAUUACUGUCUUAGUGUAGUCCAUAAUAUGUAAUAUAUUACUGUCUUAGUGUAGUCCAUAAUGUGUAAUAUAUUACUGUCUUAGUGUAGUCCAUAAUGUGUAAUAUAUUACUGUCUUAGUGUAGUCCAUAAUAUGUAAUAUAUUACUGUCUUAGUGUAGUCCGUAAUAUAUUACUGUCUUAUUGUAGUCCAUAAUAUGUAAUAUAUUACUCUUAUUGUAGUCCAUAAUAUGUAAUAUAUUACUGUCUUAUUGUAGUCCAUAAUGUGUAAUAUAUUACUGUCUUAUUGUAGUCCAUAAUAUGUAAUAUAUUACUGUUUUAUUGUAGUCCAUAAUAUGUAAUAUAUUACUGUCUUAUUGUAGUCCAUAAUAUAUUACUGUCUUAGUGUAGUCCAUAAUAUGUAAUAUAUUACUGUCUUAUUGUAGUCCAUAAUGUGUAAAAUAUUACUGUCUUAGUGUAGUCCAUAAUAUAUUACUGUCUUAUUGUCUUACUCUCUCUCUCUCUUAUCUUCUAGAGAGAAAAAAACACGUCUCAGCACAAGAAGAAUAAGAGAUCAUAUACUAACCUGAGCCCUAGGACCAUACGUCAGGACUACCGGGCAUGACGACUCCCUGCUGCCCCCAGUCCACCUGGCCUUGCUGCUAUUCCAGUUUCAACGGUUCUGCCUGCGGUUACGGAACCCCUACCUGUCCCAGACCUGCUGUUUUCAACUCUUAAUGAUCGGCUAUGAAAAGCCAACAGAUUUAUUCCUGAUUAUUAUUUGACCAUGCUUGUCAUUUAUGAACAUUUUGAAAAUCUUGGCUCUCUCUAAUUUUCUCCUUCUCUCUUUCUUUCUCUCGGAGGACCUGAGCCCUGGGACCAUACGUCGGGACUGCCGGGCGUGGUGACUCCUUGCUGUCCCCAGUCCGCCUGGCCUUGCUGCUGUUCUGCCUGCGGUUAUGGAACCGCCACCUGUCCCAGACCUGUUGUUUUUCAACUCUUAAUGAUCGGCUAUGAAAAGCCAACUGAAUAUUAUUCAUGAUUAUUAUUUGACCAUGCUUGUCACUUAUGAACAUUUUUGAACAUCUUGGCAUAGUUCUGUUAUAAUCUCCACCCGGCAGAGCCAGAAGAGGACUGGCCACCCCUCAUAGCCUGGUUCCUCUCUAGGUUUCUUCCUAGGUUUUGGCCUUUCUAGGGAGUUUUUCCUAGCCACCGUGCUUCUACACCUGCAUUCUAGCUGUUUGGGGUUUUAGGCUGGGUCUCUGUACAGCACUUCGAGACAUUAGCUGAUGUACGAAGGGCUAUAUAAAAUAAACUUGAUUGAUUGAUUGAUAGUC